This 483-nucleotide ribosomal RNA is filed under the name uncultured bacterium. Its description in RNAcentral is "partial 16S ribosomal RNA". It matches the Rfam family "Bacterial small subunit ribosomal RNA", at positions 30 to 506 of the family's 1533-position model. The record is from RNAcentral.
AUUGAACGCUGGCGGCAGGCCUAACACAUGCAAGUCGAGCGGAUGAAGGGAGCUUGCUCCUGGAUUCAGCGGCGGACGGGUGAGUAAUGCCUAGGAAUCUGCCUGGUAGUGGGGGAUAACGUCCGGAAACGGGCGCUAAUACCGCAUACGUCCUGAGGGAGAAAGUGGGGGAUCUUCGGACCUCACGCUAUCAGAUGAGCCUAGGUCGGAUUAGCUAGUUGGUGGGGUAAAGGCCUACCAAGGCGACGAUCCGUAACUGGUCUGAGAGGAUGAUCAGUCACACUGGAACUGAGACACGGUCCAGACUCCUACGGGAGGCAGCAGUGGGGAAUAUUGGACAAUGGGCGAAAGCCUGAUCCAGCCAUGCCGCGUGUGUGAAGAAGGUCUUCGGAUUGUAAAGCACUUUAAGUUGGGAGGAAGGGCAGUAAGUUAAUACCUUGCUGUUUGGACGUUACCAACAGAAUAAGCACCGGCUAACUGCGU